GCUGCUGUGGCUCAGUUGGUAGAGCAGCUGAUUCGUAAUCAGCAGGUCGCCGGUUCAAGUCCGGCCAGCAGCUCCA
This 76-nucleotide transfer RNA is filed under the name Oscillospiraceae bacterium. RNAcentral describes it as "tRNA-Thr". It matches the Rfam family "tRNA". From Rfam's summary of the family: Transfer RNA (tRNA) molecules are approximately 80 nucleotides in length. Their secondary structure includes four short double-helical elements and three loops (D, anti-codon, and T loops). Lineage: Bacteria; Bacillati; Bacillota; Clostridia; Eubacteriales; Oscillospiraceae. The record is from RNAcentral.